UUCAACGGCCGCGGUAUCUUAACCGUGCGAAGGUAGCGUAAUCACUUGUUCUCUAAAUAGGGACUAGUAUGAAUGGCAUCACGAGAGCUAACCUGUCUCCCCAAUCCAAUCAGUGAAACUGAUCUCCCCGUGCAGAAGCGGGGAUACACAUAUAAGACGAGAAGACCCUGUGAAGCUUAAAACUUAAAGUCAGCUGUCACCUAAAUUUCUCUAGAACAACCCAUCCACAGACUUGACCUACGUUUUCGGCUGGGGCAUCCUUGGAGAAAAAAAAAUCCUCCAAAAAGAACAAAGCCAUGAGUCACCCCUCUAAGCAUUAAUACACUUAACUUCAACUGACCCAAUAAAUUGAUCAAUGGACCAAGUUACUCCAGGGAUAACAGCGCAAUCCACUUUUAGAGUCCCUAUCGACAAGUGGGCUUACGACCUCGAUGUUGGAUCAGGGCAUCCUGGUGGUGCAGCCGCUACCAAGGGUUCGUUUGUUCAACGAUUAAAG
The sequence is a ribosomal RNA, 496 nucleotides long. It matches the Rfam family "Bacterial large subunit ribosomal RNA", at positions 1923 to 2593 of the family's 2925-position model.